This 377-nucleotide ribosomal RNA is filed under the name Merobruchus insolitus. Its description in RNAcentral is "partial 12S ribosomal RNA". Lineage: Eukaryota; Metazoa; Arthropoda; Insecta; Coleoptera; Chrysomelidae. The record is from RNAcentral.
UUCUUUCUAGGUACACUUUCCAGUACACCUACUUUGUUACGACUUAUUUCAUUUUAAAAUGAAAGCGACGGGCGAUAUGUGCAUAUUUUAGAGCUAAAAUCAUUUUAAAUAAAUAUUUAAAAUUACUCUCAAAUCCAAAUUUAAAUUUUUUUAAAAAAAAUUCUCCUUAAAUAAAUUUAAUGUAACCCACCUCUUCUUUACUAUAAACUACACCUUGAUCUGAUUUAUUUUCUAAUUAAAAACUAUGAAUAUUAAAUUCCUAUUAAAAUAUUCUAACUACGACGAUAUGUAAACUUAUAUAAAUAAAGUAAAUUUUAUCGUGGACUAUCAAUUACAGGGCAGGUUCCUCUGAAAAGACUAAAAUACCGCCAAAUUUU